AUAGUCCGCUAGGGGCGCCGAAAAGGCUGAGAUAAGAAUUAGUAUUUGAUUCUUGGUCCCUUUGAACCUGAACUGGUUAAUACCAGCGGAGGAAAGUGGAGGUUGAAUAGU
This 111-nucleotide non-coding RNA is filed under the name Gracilibacillus halophilus. RNAcentral describes it as "TPP sequence". It matches the Rfam family "TPP riboswitch aptamer (THI element)". From Rfam's summary of the family: Vitamin B(1) in its active form thiamin pyrophosphate (TPP) is an essential coenzyme that is synthesised by coupling of pyrimidine and thiazole moieties in bacteria. The previously detected thiamin-regulatory element, thi box was extended, resulting in a new, highly conserved RNA secondary structure, the THI element, which is widely distributed in eubacteria and also occurs in some archaea. Analysis of operon structures identified a large number of new candidate thiamin-regulated genes, mostly transporters, in various prokaryotic organisms. Lineage: Bacteria; Bacillati; Bacillota; Bacilli; Caryophanales; Bacillaceae. The record is from RNAcentral. RNAcentral also lists the same sequence under 1 other name.